Molecule: unclassified non-coding RNA, 458 nt
Filed under: uncultured Ascomycota
Lineage: Eukaryota; Fungi; Ascomycota
Description: sequence contains ITS2
Rfam family: 5.8S ribosomal RNA (bases 1-153)
Source: RNAcentral
AACUUUUAACAAUGGAUCACUCGGCUCUCGCGUCGUUGAAGAACGUAGCGAACUGCGAAAAUUAAUGCGACCCGCACCACGUGAGUCAUCGAGUUUUUGAACGCAUAUUGCACCCGACUGGCUCGCCUGUCGGGUCUGCCUGUCUGAGUAUCAGUACGGACCCAAUCGCCCGCCGCUGCUUGCAGCGGAUCGGCGGCUUGCGGUCGCGCGGUCUUCGGAUCGCCCGGACGUGAGCUGUCCGGCGUCGGCACCCGCCAGCGCCGGUCGCUUGAAAUGCAUCGGACUAGCGACACAAUCGUGCCUGUUAGCGUUGUUAAUCAUCUUCGGGUGUCUUCGCAUCACAACAUCACAACCGCGUCUGCCAUCCUUGCGCAAACCAUCAUUACGAUACCUUACCCCUUGAUCUCAGAUCAGGCAGGAUGACCCGCUGAACUUAAGCAUAUCAAUAAGCGGAGGCU